Long non-coding RNA from Brassica oleracea var. oleracea, 709 nucleotides. RefSeq lists it as uncharacterized. Lineage: Eukaryota; Viridiplantae; Streptophyta; Magnoliopsida; Brassicales; Brassicaceae. The transcript has 5 exons. The record is from RefSeq and is a predicted model, not a curated record.
CUUAUGCAAUGAAAUGAUUGUCUUUCACUAACGACCCAUCUUAUGCACACACACAAAAAAAAAGAUCUCUACUCUGUUUGAUGUUGGCUAUCUGAGUCAGACUUUGCUUAAUAGUUUGAUGUAUGAUUAAUGAGAAAGCCAGGGUCUGCUUCCCAAGGUUCGGAUAGAAGAGGUGGGUUUGAUUACAGAAAAGAUGAAAUUAACCAGACACAUGAAAAGGUGAUUAGAACACUUGAAUCAUGCAACUUGAUAGGAAAACUCGGAACCUAACAUCAUCUUGGAGAUUGGGACUAGCAGAAGAGGUAACAUCAGGCUCUCAUGACGUCUCUGAUGCUGUGGAAACAUGACCAAAGAUCUCUGCAAGGGUUGUACCGGGUCAAGAGUUAUUCUGUUUCAGUAGAGAUCCUGAAGAAUGUUUCUUGCGAUUGUUUAUGAGAACUUUGUCGGCUGUGUUGUGCUUAUUGUAGAGAUUUGGGAUGCUCUUUAGCACUGAGGGGUUUGAUAUUUUUGCGAACGAUCGAGUAUUUGGAAUGGUCUCUUAAGUGGCUUCUGAAACUACACAAUAUCAGAGAUUACUGUGAAUUUAGCCAGUGUGUUAGUCUUGGAAGAUGCUUCGGUUGGACCGAAUUGAAAUAUAUGUAAACAUGAAUUAUAUAUAUAUAAUUAUUUUAUAGUCAAGGCAACCAUUAAAAAUCCAACUAUUUCUUUA